GGUAAUAUACUAAUAUAUAUGAAUAUUCUAGAGAUUAUUUUAGGUUAUUUUUAUAAUGGCACAGGUCUACUUAACGCAACGCAAAACGUCACAACUAUUACUCCUUUAUCUCAAAUAAAUAACACGAUCUUCUAUUUUUCAAAUAAAUAAUAUUUAGGAUGAGCUAUUAGUUAGCACCAUAUUUUCAAAAGCAGACGGGUUAUAAAUUUUAUUGUCACCACAUAACAAGAGAUAUCUCUUCUCUACUC
Molecule: long non-coding RNA, 248 nt
Filed under: Setaria viridis
Lineage: Eukaryota; Viridiplantae; Streptophyta; Magnoliopsida; Poales; Poaceae
Description: long non-coding RNA (SVIR_LNC004935)
Source: RNAcentral